CCUACGGGAGGCAGCAGUGGGGAAUAUUGCACAAUGGGGGAAACCCUGAUGCAGCGACGCCGCGUGAGUGAAGAAGUACUUCGUUAUGUAAAGCUCUAUCAGCAGGGAAGAAAAUGACGGUACCUGAGUAAGAAGCCCCGGCUAACUACGUGCCAGCAGCCGCGGUAAUACGUAGGGGGCAAGCGUUAUCCGGAUUUACUGGGUGUAAAGGGAGCGUAGACGGCAGUGCAAGUCUGGAGUGAAAGCCGGGGGCUCAACCCCCGGACUGCUCUGGAAACUGUACGGCUUGAGUGCAGGUGAGGUAAGUGGAAUUCCUGGUGUAGCGGUGAAAUGCGUAGAUAUUUGGAGGAACACCAGUGGCGAAGGCGGCUUACUGGACUGUAACUGACGUUGAGGCUCGAAAGCGUGGGGAGCAAACAGGAUUAGAUACCCGGGUAGUC
RNAcentral lists this ribosomal RNA (440 nucleotides) under uncultured bacterium. RNAcentral describes it as "partial 16S ribosomal RNA". It matches the Rfam family "Bacterial small subunit ribosomal RNA", at positions 338 to 795 of the family's 1533-position model. The record is from RNAcentral.